CAUUGGUCGAGAGUUGUUGUCGCUCUCCUGAUGAGUUCUAGGUAAGACGAAACCAGUG
This 58-nucleotide non-coding RNA is filed under the name Helianthus annuus (common sunflower). Lineage: Eukaryota; Viridiplantae; Streptophyta; Magnoliopsida; Asterales; Asteraceae. The record is from RNAcentral.